UAUAGAGAGAGAGAGAGAGAGAGAGUACUCCGAGAGAGCAAUGCUUCAAUACAUCAUAAGUAUUAAAAUCAAACUCUUAAUUAGUAAAGGGUAUAGUUAAAUUUUACAUAAAGUAAUCUAUUGAACAAGUUACCGAUUUGAAUUAGUUAAUAUGACAAUAUUGAAAAAAAAUUAGUAGUAUAUACCAAAUUUGUUAGCAUCCUAUAAUAUUAAAUAUCUUAUUUAGUUUUGUUACUUACCAAAUUAAAUAAUACCCAAUUUGUUAAGUAUCCAACUCAAAAUAAUGUUGAAUUUAAAUUUAAGUUUUAAAGUUGGCAUUGUAAUGUAAAGUUUUAAUUUCAAAUUUAUAUUAAACUUUUAAAUUUUGAAUCUACAUUGUACUUUUAAUCUGAAAGCCAAAUUUUAAUUUUUGAUUUAAAUUAAAAUUUUGAAUUUGAACUGAAAGUUUUAUUUUAACUUUGUGUUUUGUAUUUAAAAGUUGAAUUUGAUUUAUAAUUAAGUUUUUUAUAUUGUUUUGUAUUUAAAUUUGCAGUUUAGUUGUAAUUUGAAUUCCAAUUGUUGUUGUAGAUAUUUAAGAAAGUUAUAAUAUUCUUAGUUGGAUAAAACCAAUUUUGUAGACCAAAAUAUUUUUCUAAGACCAAAAUAUUCUUUAAAUAGGUACCUGGAGUUGAGCUAGAAUACUAUCGAUAGUAAACGAGCCAUUUUACUACCGAUUUGUUUUCGAUGAUAGAGCUUCCAAAUUGAUGAUCGGUUCCGUUGAACAUGAUCUAUGCCACUUGAAGUGUUUAGAAAUCAAAUUUCAAAUUUUUUCGACAUCAUUUGACUAAUGAUCAAAGGGUUUCAAAUUUUAUAAUUUUAACGGUCGAUAAGAGGCGUUUUCUCGUUUAGCGGCGUAAAGAUAUCGAAAUCAAUUGAAUUUUUGUUAGAAAAUUCUUUAAACUAUUUAAAACAAGAUCUAUACUCUUGAUCUUGAUUACAAGACUCCUAUCAUCAUUUUUUAAAGAACAUUCAUUUUCAGCCAUUCAUUUUUCUGUUCACUUGAUGGAUAAAAGAACAAUAUCGAAAGUGCGUGAAAUUUGAUUUCUAGCUAGUUUAAAUGGUUUAGAUCAUAUUUAACGGAGCCGAUCGUCAAUUUGGAAACUCUAUCAUCGAAAACAAAUCGGUAGUAAACCGGCUAGUUUACUAUCAAUAGUAUUCUAGCUCAACUAUAUAUAUAUAUAUAUAUAUAUAUAUANCCGAUUCUUUUACACCGUUAAACUAGUAAAUAUUCCAUACCGGCCGUUAAAAAUUGUCAAUUUUAUGAGCUUUUGAUCGUAGGGUAAAUGAUACCGAAAAUUAUAAAAUUUAAUUUCUAGAAGUUUUAAGUGCUCUAGAUAAUAUUUAACGGUAUGAAUCGUCGAUUCGAAAGCUCUAUCGUCGAAAACAACUUAUGAGUACGAAGUCGAUCGUACUCAUAAGAGUAUAAUAGCCGGACUCUAUCUAUAUAUAGAGAGAGAGUCCGGCCACUAUACUUUUAUGAAUAUAGAGCCUAUUGUACUCAUAAGUUUUUUACCGUUAAAUCUACCCUUUAAUCAUUUUUACCCGUUAAAUUAUAUUAUUCAACCAACCAUACACUCAACCCUAGGGGGGCCACUAUCAAACAUCUGAACGGUCGAAAACUUAUGAGUACAAAGGGCUCUAUAUUCAUAUGAGUAUAGUAGCCCCAGCCUAUAUAUAUAUAUAUAUAUAUAUAUAUAUAUAUAUAUAUAUAUAUAUAGUUCGGCUACUAUACUCUUAUGAGUACGAUCGCCCUCGUACUCAUAAGUCGUUUUCGAUGAUAGAGCUUCAGAAUCGACGAUUCAUACCGUUAAACAUUAUCUAGAGUAUUUAAAACUUCUAGAAGUCAAAUUUCAUAGUUUUUCGACAUCAUUUUGAAGUUGGUAUUGUAAUGUAAAGUUUCAAUUUCAAAUUUAUAUUAAACUUUUAAAUUUUGAAUCUACAUUGUACUUUUAAUCUGAAAGCCAAAUUUUAAUUUUUGAUUUAAAUUAAAAUUUUGAAUUUGAGCUGAAAGUUUUUUUAAAUUUGUGUUUUAUAUUUAAACGUUGAAUUUGAUUUAUAAUUAAGUGUUUUAUGCUGCUUUGUAUUUAAAUUUGCAGUUUAGUUGUAAUUUGAAUUUCAAUUAUUGUUGUAGAUAUUUAAGAAAGUUAUAAUAUUCUUAGUUGGAUAAAAUCGAUUUUGUAGACCAAAAUAUUUUUCUAAGAUCAAAAUAUCCUUUAAAUAGGACCCGGUGAAUAAUACUUAUGGCUGAAUAGUAGGUCGCCUCUAAAAUCAUAUUAUAUCUCAACCAUCUAUUUAAAAAAAUAAAUGGUCAAGAUUUAUAUGGUAUAUUAAAAUAUUA
Molecule: long non-coding RNA, 2377 nt
Filed under: Ananas comosus (pineapple)
Lineage: Eukaryota; Viridiplantae; Streptophyta; Magnoliopsida; Poales; Bromeliaceae
Description: long non-coding RNA (ACOM_LNC026395)
Source: RNAcentral